RNAcentral lists this ribosomal RNA (406 nucleotides) under uncultured bacterium. Its description in RNAcentral is "partial 16S ribosomal RNA". It matches the Rfam family "Bacterial small subunit ribosomal RNA", at positions 30 to 526 of the family's 1533-position model. The record is from RNAcentral.
AUUGAACGCUGGCGGCAGGCCUAACACAUGCAAGUCGAACGAGUGGCGGACGGGUGAGUAAUGUCUGGGACACUGCCUGAUGGAGGGGGAUAACUACUGGAAACGGUAGCUAAUAACGCAUACCAUACGAUGUGCCCAGAUGGGAUUAGCGAGUUGGUGUGGUAACGGCACACCAAGGCGACGAUCCCUAGUUGGUCUGAGAGGAUGACCAGCCACACUGGAACGUAGACACGGUCCAGACUCCUACGGGAGGCAGCAGUGGGGCAUAUUGCACAAUGGGCGCAAGCCUGAUGCAGCCAUGCCGCGUGUAUGAAGAAGGCCUUCGAGUUGUAAAGUACUUUCAGCGGGGAGGCGUUACCCGCAGAAGAAGCACCGGCUAACUCCGUGCCAGCAGCCGCGGUAAUUC